RNAcentral lists this ribosomal RNA (263 nucleotides) under uncultured bacterium. Its description in RNAcentral is "partial 16S ribosomal RNA". It matches the Rfam family "Bacterial small subunit ribosomal RNA", at positions 95 to 354 of the family's 1533-position model. The record is from RNAcentral.
CCGGCGCACGGGUGAGUAACACGUAUGCAACCUGGCCGUCACAGGUGGAUAACCGGAAGAAAUUCCGACUAAUACAGCAUAACACUCCUGAGGGACAUCCCUUGGGAGUCAAAGGAGGCAACUCCGGUGACGGAUGGGCAUGCGGCGCAUUAGGUAGUUGGUAGGGUAACGGCCUACCAAGCCGACGAUGCGCAGGGGUUCUGAGAGGAAGGUCCCCCACAUUGGAACUGAGACACGGUCCAAACUCCUACGGAAGGCAGCAG